RNAcentral lists this transfer RNA (67 nucleotides) under Mantispa japonica. RNAcentral describes it as "tRNA-Phe". It matches the Rfam family "tRNA". From Rfam's summary of the family: Transfer RNA (tRNA) molecules are approximately 80 nucleotides in length. Lineage: Eukaryota; Metazoa; Arthropoda; Insecta; Neuroptera; Mantispidae. The record is from RNAcentral.
AUUUAAAUAGCUUAAAAUAAAAGCGUAACAUUGAAGCUGUUAAGAUGAUUAUUUAAAUCUUUAAAUA